RNAcentral lists this ribosomal RNA (101 nucleotides) under Salvator merianae (Argentine black and white tegu). The record is from RNAcentral. Lineage: Eukaryota; Metazoa; Chordata; Lepidosauria; Squamata; Teiidae.
CUAAGCAUUUAAGCUUUCCUUUGUCAGUCUUGUUUGAUCUUGGAAGCUAAGUUGAAUUAGUACUUGAAUGGGAGUCCACCUGGGAACACAAAGUGCUCUGA